GGAAGUGGUUGUUAUCUUUGGUUAUCUAGCUGUAUGAGUGUAUUGGUUUUCAUAAAGCUAGAUAACCGAAAGUAAAAACUCCUUC
RNAcentral lists this microRNA precursor (85 nucleotides) under Xenopus tropicalis (tropical clawed frog). RNAcentral's name for it is "microRNA xtr-mir-9a precursor (xtr-mir-9a-2)". Its record names the gene xtr-mir-9a-2. The stretch from base 6 to 81 matches the Rfam family "mir-9/mir-79 microRNA precursor family". From Rfam's summary of the family: The mature ~21nt miRNAs are processed from hairpin precursor sequences represented here. miR-9 is processed from the 5' arm of its precursor, and miR-79 from the 3' arm. The bounds of the precursors are predicted based on conservation and base pairing and are not generally known. The record is from miRBase by way of RNAcentral. Lineage: Eukaryota; Metazoa; Chordata; Amphibia; Anura; Pipidae.